This is a long non-coding RNA of Parus major (Great Tit), 616 nucleotides long. NCBI's taxonomy places the organism in Eukaryota, Metazoa, Chordata, Aves, Passeriformes, Paridae. The record is from Ensembl.
CUGUAGUAUCAGUUGCAAUUUUAAUAAACACACUGUCUAAUGCUUUUUUCUAGAUCAUUAAUGAAGAUGGUAAAUAAAACUGGAGUUAACACCAGUUUCUAGUAAUAACCCUACUGGAUGCCUCCCCACAAGCUGACAGUUUUGUCGCUGAUCACUAUUCAUCACCCAGCCCGAACGUCAGUGUCCCCGUGUGAGAGAUCAGAGCACACCACUGCCGAGGGCAGUCAAAUACCCAGGACAUGGACUGUCUACUGUGAUGACUUUUGAGGGAGAACACGGCUUUGUGCAAAGACCCUUACACUGCAAGAACCUCUGUGCUCCCCAAAUGACUCCAACAAGGAUGAGCAUAUUGCCAUGGCAACCAAAAUACAGAAGCUGGGAAAGCACCAGAGACAGUGGAAGGGACACCCUCCAGCACCUCUGGGAGACUCUGCAGACCCUUCAUCACCAAGGCUUUGUCAGGAGGUUGGUAUGCCCUCAAAGGACUAAAAUCCAGGUUUGGGAUAUGGUUGGAGCAGCCCUGACCCUCCCCCUCCAGGACCAGCUGCUACUGCAUUUAUGCACAUCAGGAGAGAGGAAGUUAGUGGGGACACAUGGUGGAACUUCUGAAGGUGCU